This 301-nucleotide ribosomal RNA is filed under the name uncultured bacterium. Its description in RNAcentral is "partial 16S ribosomal RNA". It matches the Rfam family "Bacterial small subunit ribosomal RNA", at positions 509 to 807 of the family's 1533-position model. The record is from RNAcentral.
CAGUAGCCGCGGUAACACAGAGGGUGCGAGCGUUAAUCGGAUUUACUGGGCGUAAAGCGUGCGUAGGCGGCUUUUUAAGUCGGAUGUGAAAUCCCUGAGCUUAACUUAGGAAUUGCAUUCGAUACUGGGAAGCUAGAGUAUGGGAAAGGAUGGUAGAAUUCCAGGUGUAGCGGUGAAAUGCGUAGAGAUCUGGAGGAAUACCGAUGGCGAAGGCAGCCAUCUGGCCUAAUACUGACGCUGAGGUACGAAAGCAUGGGGAGCAAACAGGAUUAGAUACCCCUGUAGUCCCUGUCUCUUAUAC